CGGAGUCUGCAACCCGACUCCGUGAAGCUGGAUUCGCUAGUAAUCGCGCAUCAGCCAUGGCGCGGUGAAUACGUUCCCGGGCCUUGUACACACCGCCCGUCAAGCCAUGGGAGCCGGGGGGUGCUUGAAGUGCGUCGCCGCAAGGCGCGCCCUAGAGCAAAACCGGUGACUGGGGCUAAGUCGUAACAAGGUAGC
Molecule: ribosomal RNA, 195 nt
Filed under: uncultured bacterium
Lineage: Bacteria
Description: partial 16S ribosomal RNA
Rfam family: Bacterial small subunit ribosomal RNA
Source: RNAcentral